Molecule: small nuclear RNA, 110 nt
Organism: Apodemus sylvaticus (European woodmouse)
Lineage: Eukaryota; Metazoa; Chordata; Mammalia; Rodentia; Muridae
Source: RefSeq, a predicted model, not a curated record
CUGCUCGCCUGGGCAGCAGCAAACAUACUAACAACUGGAAUGCUACAGGGAAGAUUAGCACGGCCCCUGGGCAAGGGCGACAUACAGGUUGUGAAGUGUUCUGUGUUUCU